CCCGGGAGGGCUAUCUCCCGGCAUUCCCCACCCCCUUGACUGGGAAAGAUGCCUUUGCACUUGGUCUCCUGGCUGCAGGAGAGGUCUGGGCGCUGAAGCUGGUCCCGAGCCGGCCAGGGCUGCGGUUUCCAUCUUGAGCCGGUGUCCCUUGAAACUUCUCCAAGUGCCCGCACGACUUACCUUUCCCUGACUUCUCUGUCCACACCCGGCCGCCCAUCGGCAAAAAGAAAACGAGCUGGGCGAGGAGUUUAGGAAUGCGGAGCACCCCAAAUGUCCGAGUCAAGAGUUUUAAUGCUUGUUGUUUCCCAUCAACAACGACCAGAGAGAAACUUUUCCUCCGGGAGAGCCUAGGCUGGCGGGGGCGAGAGCAGCAAGAUUUUGCGAGCAGCGCGCGUGUCCACGCGUGCAGGGCCAGCAGCCUACGCUUUCCCGGUAGGGUGGGGGCAGUGUGGAAAAGACCACUGCCUGGGCAGAAUCCUUUGAGAUAGACCUAGAUGGGGCGCUCCGUUCACACAACCGAUCUUUAAAACUUGCUACUACAGAAAAAUCCAGACUUUCAAGGGCGCCCCUUGAAAAUAAAAGAGCAA
This is a long non-coding RNA of Mastomys coucha (southern multimammate mouse), 587 nucleotides long. RefSeq lists it as uncharacterized. The record is from RefSeq and is a predicted model, not a curated record. Lineage: Eukaryota; Metazoa; Chordata; Mammalia; Rodentia; Muridae. The transcript has 2 exons.